Long non-coding RNA from Juglans regia (Persian walnut), 900 nucleotides. RefSeq lists it as uncharacterized. The transcript has 2 exons. The record is from RefSeq and is a predicted model, not a curated record. Lineage: Eukaryota; Viridiplantae; Streptophyta; Magnoliopsida; Fagales; Juglandaceae.
ACAUUGCUGAUUGCACUUUCUUCUUCCUCCUCUUUAUGCAUCUCUCUCUCUCUCUCUUCUCUUUUUGUGUUUGCUUGUGUGGAAAAGAAAAAAGAUGAAAGCAAGACACAAGUUUCUCCAAGGUCUCCUUGAGGCCUUUAUCAUGCAUGAGUACUCAAUGAAAAGUACCAUCGCCAUACUGAACUUCUCAAAGAUUGGAAUCCAUGGAUUGAAAGAAAUCCUUACAGCAGCAAUCUUUGCCAGCAUUCAUGAGUUUGAAAAUCCAAGUUCCAAUAUUGUAACGUUGGCUUGCUCAUGAUACUUGGGUCCUAUCCUAUCUGAGCUUUUAUAUUUAUCAUUUUCUUUAUCCAAGGUCUUAUAAGGUCGAUCUUCUUGACCUUGUAAGACCUUUUCAUAAUUUAGUAAGAUCUAGCAACGUAUCAAUUGUUUUUAUUUUGUAAUUUCUCGCGAAUUCUAUAUCAUAGUCUGUUGACAUAGAGUUUAGUGGUUAUAUUUUCCCAUAACUACCUAACUCAUCUCCUCCUUCCUUGUCUAUCCCUCCUGAGCUAUUUGAAACUUGCCCGACAUGCAUCUCUCCUAAAUAUAUUGUCUCUCAGAAGAUCACUUGAGAAGAUCCUUGAGUUUAUGCAAGAAAUGGAGAUCUCGAUUGCAACAUGGAUUACAAUAAUUUUUAUUUUCACAUGUAAAUGUAGAAGGAUCGAAGAAAAUGCUAAGAGUGAUGAUCCUUGAGGUAGUAGUUAGAAUGUAUUAAUUAUUUUUAAAAACACCGUACGUGUUGUUUGAUUGAGAAUUAAUGCUAGCUAGUUGUUUGUUUUAAGUUCUGUAAAGCUAGGCCAUCAAUUUCAAUUGCAUUAUUGUGUGCAGAAAUAUGCUUCUGCAGACAUCAGUUUCGUUGUUUUA